UGAAAAAAUCAGUAUUAUCCAUACAAACAAAUCAAAUUGGUAAUGGCAAAGAUUAAAAGUAAACCCAGUAAACCCAUACCCAACCCAAGACAAACAAAUAUUAAAGGUAAUAACUAAAGAAAGCUAUAUGUGUGAAUACAUGAACAAGUAUACAGUCAUGUUCCAGCUCAACAGGCUCUGGAUUGACAAUGCUCUUUUUCACAGCUAAAUGAUACAUACAUCAAAUCACAUAUUGAGGGGAAAAAAAGAGAGAAAACACAAGCAUCUGAGCCACAGUACAAAAAAGAGGUUGAUGGUCAAGUACAAAAGAGAGAAAACACAAAUUGCCAAAAGCAGUAGUACCUCUGCUCUCAAGAGAUUAGUCCAUGGUCGGCGGCGAAACUCACCAAAUCGACGGGAAAGAGGUUGAUGGUCGACGGUCGGCGGUCGGAGGUCGACGAGAAAAAGAUUGACGAUCGACGUGAAAGAGAAAGAGAGGCCAGGGGGAGGAAUCGGGAUUCGAGAGAGAGAAUAGGGGUUCGGGGGGGAAUCGGGUUCAGGAGAGGAGAUUUCAGAAUGUGGAGAACGGGAUGAAUGAAGGGGUUCAGCGAAAUCGAUUGAUGGGGUUAGGCUGCUGCCUGCUGGGUUGGGUUAACAUGUUUAAACCGGUUUUUCG
RNAcentral lists this long non-coding RNA (655 nucleotides) under Manihot esculenta (cassava). RNAcentral's name for it is "long non-coding RNA (MESC_LNC007786)". Lineage: Eukaryota; Viridiplantae; Streptophyta; Magnoliopsida; Malpighiales; Euphorbiaceae. The record is from RNAcentral.